Molecule: long non-coding RNA, 765 nt
Organism: Oncorhynchus keta (chum salmon)
Lineage: Eukaryota; Metazoa; Chordata; Actinopteri; Salmoniformes; Salmonidae
Exons: 3
Source: RefSeq, a predicted model, not a curated record
CCCACCACCAGUAUCUGCUAGGCUAGUCAUAAUAUAUGCAUUCUGUCUGUACCAAGGUCAUAUCUGGAGGCUCAUGCUAUCCUUCCUGGGACGUUCUAGGCCAAGGGGACUGAAACAUGUGUUUAUGUGGGCAGUUGUUCUAUUGAGUAAUCUAGUGAUAAGAGAUGAGUUAAGAGACUUGGCAUAGAGGAUACAGCGCUUUAGUCUGUUGGAGAAACAAUCAACCUGUUAUCUGAAGGUGAAUCACCUUUUCGCCGAGGUUGAUUGUUUCACCUACAGACUAGCAUCUUGUCGGGGGGGUGAUAUUGUACAUGAAGCUGCCUCACGCUACAGAAACAGGAAAUAAGACUCCUUCCCUAGAGGUAGGGCUCCUUCCCUAGAGGCAGGGCUCCUUCCCUGGAGGUACCCCUGGAGGCAGGGCUCCUUCCCUGGAGGUACCCCUGGAGGCAGGGCUCCUUCCCUGGAGGUACCCCUGGAGGCAGGGCUCCUUCCCUGGAGGUACCCCUGGAGGCAGGGCUCCUUCCCUGGAGGUACCCCUGGAGGCAGGGCUCCUUCCCUGGAGGUACCCCUGGAGGCAGGGCUCCUUCCCUGGAGGUACCCCUGGAGGCAGGGCUCCUUCCCUGGAGGUACCCCUGGAGGCAGGGCUCCUUCCCUGGAGGUACCCCUGGAGGUAGGGCUCCUUCCCUGGAGGUACCCCUGGAGGUAGGGCUCCUUCCCUGGAGGUACCCCUGGAGGUAGGGCUCCUUCCCCGGAGGUACCCCUGGA